GGCCCGGUGGUCAAGUGGUCAAGACACGGCCCUUUCACGGCUGUAACAGGGGUUCGACUCCCCUCCGGGUCACCA
RNAcentral lists this transfer RNA (75 nucleotides) under [Clostridium] cellulosi. Its description in RNAcentral is "tRNA-Glu (TTC) (tRNA-Glu-TTC-1-1)". It matches the Rfam family "tRNA". From Rfam's summary of the family: Transfer RNA (tRNA) molecules are approximately 80 nucleotides in length. Their secondary structure includes four short double-helical elements and three loops (D, anti-codon, and T loops). The record is from RNAcentral. Lineage: Bacteria; Bacillati; Bacillota; Clostridia; Eubacteriales; Oscillospiraceae.